This 302-nucleotide ribosomal RNA is filed under the name uncultured bacterium. RNAcentral's name for it is "partial 16S ribosomal RNA". It matches the Rfam family "Bacterial small subunit ribosomal RNA", at positions 508 to 809 of the family's 1533-position model. The record is from RNAcentral.
GCAGUAGCCGCGGGAAUACAGAGGGUGCGAGCGUUAAUCGGAUUUACUGGGCGUAAAGCGUGCGUAGGCGGCUUCUUAAGUCGGAUGUGAAAUCCCUGAGCUUAACUUAGGAAUUGCAUUCGAUACUGGGAAGCUAGAGUAUGGGAGAGGAUGGUAGAAUUCCAGGUGUAGCGGUGAAAUGCGUAGAGAUCUGGAGGAAUACCGAUGGCGAAGGCAGCCAUCUGGCCUAAUACUGACGCUGAGGUACGAAAGCAUGGGGAGCAAACAGGAUUAGAUACCCGUGUAGUCCCUGUCUCUUAUAU